Molecule: long non-coding RNA, 1351 nt
Filed under: Marmota monax (woodchuck)
Lineage: Eukaryota; Metazoa; Chordata; Mammalia; Rodentia; Sciuridae
Source: RNAcentral
UCCAGAGCUCUACAAUCGACAGAGACGAAAGAUUAAGACCUUCUUGGGUCUUUCCUGGAAGCACACGCUGCCCUGCACAUUUUCAAAGACUUCUAGAUCCUCAAUAAUAUCUUGGUGCUUUUCAAAGCACCCUGUGGACAUCUCAUUCACGAGUUUUUCUUUUUCAGUCUUUUGGUCAGCCUCCUGGUUAGCCUCAACUGCUAUCACUGACUAUGAUGUUAAACAAUUGCUGAUGAUUAUUUUCAACUAAUUCCCUGCAGACAGAGUUGUGAACACAAAACAGGUCAAGACAAGCCCUGAGAAUGAGGCCUUUUCAGGAGCUUUCAGACAGGUCAAACAGUGACAAUUUUCCAGGCUUAGAGCUUUUGGAAGAGGUUCUAAUCCAUUUUGCCCCUCCAGUAGCUAUUAGUCUGCUGGUUCUCAGUUACCAUGGCUCUGAGGCUGUUGAUAGUCAAGACUACCACAGAUCUGGGGAAAAGGGUAUGGAAACUGUCAAGCAAAAAAGGUCAGAAAGCUCCCUGUUCUUACUGAGAUUCAGCCAUUUCUUGCUCUCCCCCUCCCACUGUGGUCCUGAGGACUGAACCCAGGGUACCCUACCACUAAGCUACAUUGCCAACCUAUUUUUUAUUUUUGGAGAGUCUAAGUUGCUCAGGCUGGCCUCAAACUUGUAAUCUUCCCCCCUUAGCCUUCCUGAUAGCUGAGCCUAAAGACAAGUACCAUAGUACCAAACUUCACUCUAGUCUUGACACUUUAUUUUUUUGGUACUGGGAAUUGAACCCAGGGGCGCUUAACCACUGAGCCACAUCCCCAGCCUGUUUUAUUUUUUAUUUUGAGACAGGGCCUCAUUAAGUUGCUUAGGGCCUUGCUAAGUUGCUGAGGCUAGCUCUGAACUUGGGAUCCUCCUACCUCAGGCUCCCCAGUCGCUGAGAUUAUAGGCAUGCACCACCUAAUAUCCACCACCUAAGAUCCAGCUAAUCUUGACUCUUAACUUGCCUGAAGUUCUAUGCCAGCAGCUCUUUACCACUUGCUGUGAAGGUAUAUAUUGCUAAUUGAAUACCAGACUCAAUUCAGAGACCUUUGCCCAAGCAGAAUGAAUGGUGUUCAACUCCAGGUGUAGUAACUGUAGUAUAUGGAUUUUCUAUGAAUUUUCCAGUGAAAAGCAAGCCUUAGCUCUCUUUUUAUGCCAACUAAUAGUUAAAAAGGACAGAUAUCUAGGCUCUGGAGGCUGAACAAAAUUAUGUUCAAAUCCUCUUGAACUACAAGUGUGCUUAAAACAUAUCCUACAUUCUUGAGCAUUGGCCUGUAAUAAAAUCAAUGGUACAAAGUAAAUCUUUUACCAGGGUACCCAGCU